Molecule: unclassified non-coding RNA, 376 nt
Filed under: uncultured Actinomycetes bacterium
Lineage: Bacteria; Bacillati; Actinomycetota; Actinomycetes
Description: uncultured actinobacterium contains 16S-23S intergenic spacer region
Source: RNAcentral
UCCGGUUUGACCCCGGCAGUCUCCCAUGAGUCCCCGGCAUUACCCGCUGGCAACAUGGAACGAGGGUUGCGCUCGUUGCGGGACUUAACCCAACAUCUCACGACACGAGCUGACGACAACCAUGCACCACCUGUGUAGAGCCCCGAAGGACACCGUAUCUCUACGGCUUUUCUCUACAUGUCAAGCCUAGGUAAGGUUCUUCGCGUUGCCUCGGAUUAAACCACAUGCUCCGCUGCUUGUGCGGGCCCCCGUCAAUUCCUUUGAGUUUUAGCCUUGCGGCCGUACUCCCCAGGCGGGGCACUUAAUGCGUUAGCUUCGGCACGGAGGGAGUCGACACCCCCCACACCUAGUGCCCAUCGUUUACAGCGUGGACUAC